Molecule: long non-coding RNA, 794 nt
Organism: Lagopus leucura (white-tailed ptarmigan)
Lineage: Eukaryota; Metazoa; Chordata; Aves; Galliformes; Phasianidae
Exons: 3
Source: RefSeq, a predicted model, not a curated record
CCUAGGCGCAUUUAAGAGCUGACUACCGGGGAAAAGGAUCUCUUCUGGAGAUCCCCUCUCUGGAGUUUUGCAUUAAGCCCAGGAUGCAGGGGGAUUCCUGGAUCCCUUCCUUAUGCAGAAAAGGCAGUUGGAGGGGAGAUCAAGCAACACUCUGCUCCUCAGAGAAGAAAAGCUAUGUAUAAUUUAGGAAUGAAACAAUGGUAAAGAUACGAGGCAAAAAAAUUAGGAGAUAUGGUCUUCAAGCUCAUACUUGGUCUGUAAUCUUGGUCAUACCACUGAACGAAACAGGACAGAAGGAUGGAAGGAAGAAAGACCCAAAAGCACCUUCAAGUCUUCAACUCAAGAAUGUGAUCCAUAAAGUCCUUCUGAGGCACCUGCAUUUCACCUGCUGCAGAUGAGGUGAACCCAGCAUGUAUUCAUACAUGUUAAAAAUUCAGUAUAGACACCCUCUGUGCUUAAACUCCUUGAAGCUGCAUCAAUGCUAAUAAAUGAAAUGUGCCAGCACUGGCAACGAGGCCAAUUGGCAGGGAAUGCCCUGUAUUCAUGAUGUUAAACCUCAUGCAACAAGAGACACUACCUACAAAUGGCACUCCAGUGAUGGGCUCUAUGUCACACUAACUCCUGAACUGUUCCCCUGCAUUACUUGAGAGUCAGCAUGGGUAAAAAGCAGGCCAAGGACUGCUCUAAGGGAGAACAGACAUUGCGUUCAGGGGCUUAAUAAUAUUCCUGGAUGCUGUUUAAUAUAUGAGAACGGACAUAACCUGAGGGUCUUGAAUAAACAAAUGGAAUCUUAA